CCCAUAAGCGGGGAUAAAACCGCUGUACGCGCUUGACCCCAGAGCUGGACAUUAGCUCUGGUAAAUGUGAGUUUGAUACUAUUUAUUUUACAUCUUUACCUAUAUUUUUCAUACUAUACCAUUGGAUGUCCGUUUUUUCCUCUUUUUAUUUUUCAUAACGAGUGAAACCACCAUAAAAAUAGAAGACCUCGCCAACCAAGGACACCUGUAAGAACAUACCAGUUGGACUUUUUCUCUCCCUUUCCUUUUAUUGGACUCUAUUAUAUGUGCGCAGCCUUUUAUUGUUUUUUAUCUUUAUCUUGUUUUAUAGGGUUUGAGGGAUUCCCUUUUAAGGUUGCUGCCACAGUUAACUAGCGCUGUCUCUUUUCUUUUAUUUAUUACUAUU
Molecule: non-coding RNA, 385 nt
Organism: Pelobates cultripes (western spadefoot toad)
Lineage: Eukaryota; Metazoa; Chordata; Amphibia; Anura; Pelobatidae
Source: the annotation of a GenBank genome assembly